This 73-nucleotide transfer RNA is filed under the name Clostridia bacterium. Its description in RNAcentral is "tRNA-Trp". It matches the Rfam family "tRNA". Rfam says of the family: Transfer RNA (tRNA) molecules are approximately 80 nucleotides in length. Their secondary structure includes four short double-helical elements and three loops (D, anti-codon, and T loops). The record is from RNAcentral. Lineage: Bacteria; Bacillati; Bacillota; Clostridia.
UAGGGGUAUAGUUCAAUGGUAGAGCAGCGGUCUCCAAAACCGUAAAUAGGGGUUCAAAUCCUCUUACCCCUGU